This 198-nucleotide ribosomal RNA is filed under the name uncultured bacterium. Its description in RNAcentral is "partial 16S ribosomal RNA". It matches the Rfam family "Bacterial small subunit ribosomal RNA", at positions 332 to 526 of the family's 1533-position model. The record is from RNAcentral.
AUUACUCCUACGGGAGGCAGCAGUGAGGAAUAUUGGUCAAUGGGUGCAAGCCUGAACCAGCCAUCCCGCGUGAAGGAUUAAGGUCCUAUGGAUUGUAAACUUCUUUUGUAUAGGGAUAAACCUACCCUCGUGAGGGUAGCUGAAGGCACUAUACGAAUAAGCACCGGCUAACUACGUGCCAGCAGCCGCGGUAAUAAU